This 511-nucleotide ribosomal RNA is filed under the name uncultured bacterium. RNAcentral describes it as "bacterial SSU rRNA". It matches the Rfam family "Bacterial small subunit ribosomal RNA", at positions 17 to 518 of the family's 1533-position model. The record is from RNAcentral.
UCCUGGCUCAGGAUGAACGCUAGCUACAGGCUUAACACAUGCAAGUCGAGGGGCAGCAUUGGGAUAGCUUGCUAUUCAGAUGGCGACCGGCGCACGGGUGAGUAACGCGUAUCCAACCUUCCUGCCAGUAGGGAACAGCCCGGCGAAAGUCGGAUUAAUGCCCUAUGUUCUUCAAUGCGGACAUCUAAGUUGAAGGAAAGAUUCAUCGCUGGCAGAUGGGGAUGCGUCCGAUUAGCUUGCCGGCGGGGUAACGGCCCACCGGGGCGACGAUCGGUAGGGGUUCUGAGAGGAAGGUCCCCACACUGGUACUGAGACACGGACCAGACUCCUACGGGAGGCAGCAGUGAGGAAUAUUGGUCAAUGGGCGUAAGCCUGAACCAGCCAAGUAGCGUGCAGGAAUGACGGCCCUACGGGUUGUAAACUGCUUUUAUGCGGGGAUAAAGUGCGGCACGUGUGCCGCUUUGCAGGUACCGCAUGAAUAAGGACCGGCUAAUUCCGUGCCAGCAGCCGC